RNAcentral lists this ribosomal RNA (807 nucleotides) under uncultured bacterium. Its description in RNAcentral is "bacterial SSU rRNA". It matches the Rfam family "Bacterial small subunit ribosomal RNA", at positions 8 to 813 of the family's 1533-position model. The record is from RNAcentral.
AGAGUUUGAUCCUGGCUCAGGAUGAACGCUGGCGGCGUGCUUAACACAUGCAAGUCGAACGAAGCGAUAGAGAACGGAGAUUUCGGUCGAAGUUUUCUAUUGACUGAGUGGCGGACGGGUGAGUAACGCGUGGGUAACCUGCCCUAUACAGGGGGAUAACAGUUAGAAAUGACUGCUAAUACCGCAUAAGCGCACAGCUUCGCAUGAAGUGGUGUGAAAAACUGAGGUGGUAUAGGAUGGACCCGCGUUGGAUUAGCUAGUUGGUGAGGUAACGGCCCACCUAGGCGACGAUCCAUAGCCGGCCUGAGAGGGUGAACGGCCACAUUGGGACUGAGACACGGCCCAAACUCCUACGGGAGGCAGCAGUGGGGAAUAUUGCACAAUGGGGGAAACCCUGAUGCAGCGACGCCGCGUGAAGGAAGAAGUAUCUCGGUAUGUAAACUUCUAUCAGCAGGGAAGAAAGUGACGGUACCUGACUAAGAAGCCCCGGCUAAUUACGUGCCAGCAGCCGCGGUAAUACGUAAGGGGCAAGCGUUAUCCGGAUUUACUGGGUGUAAAGGGAGCGUAGACGGUUUGGCAAGUCUGAUGUGAAAGGCAUGGGCUCAACCUGUGGACUGCAUUGGAAACUGUCAGACUUGAGUGCCGGAGAGGCAAGCGGAAUUCCUAGUGUAGCGGUGAAAUGCGUAGAUAUUAGGAGGAACACCAGUGGCGAAGGCGGCCUGCUGGACGGUAACUGACGUUGAGGCUCGAAAGCGUGGGAAGCAAACAGGAUUAGAUACCCUGGUAGUCCACGCUGUAAACGAUGAA